GUCCUGUAUGUGUAGGGUUUAGGUGAAACAGGUACCUGUCAGGUAGGGGACUUACAGAGAACAAGAGAACAGCUAUCUUGAGGGGCCUGACCAAACAUAUGGGUUCCUUAUUCAUUGCCCAGAUAUUAGGGAAACAGCCAAGGAAAAAAAAGACAUUGUUCUCAUGGAUCUUAUGUUCUAGUGGGGGAAAAGACAGUGUACAAGCCAGUGUAUAAGAAGAUAAGUACUGGGGAAGAGGGGAAAGUACAGGGUAAAGAUAUUUGGGGACUACUGACUAGGGCCAGGAAAGGAAAAGCAACUUAAAAGAGGUUGACAAAUGUAAGCCCCCUUGAGAAGGAGGCAUCUGAGAAAUGAAGUGGAGGGGUGCAGCAUCUGGAGGAAAAUAUUCCAGACAGAGGGAAUAGCUGCCAGCACAAAGGCCCCAGACUAGGAGCAUGGCUGGUAUGUUGUGGCUGAACAGAGUGAGUGAGGUGAGGAGACAAGGUGAGCAGAAGAGAUGAUCAGAAAAAAAGGGAUAAAGGAGGCCUCAGUGGUUAUUAUGAGGAUGAAACAAGAGCUGGAGAUCCCCACACUCAGGCUACCCCCAGCAGGCGCCAGGGCCCCAAGAUGAUGAUGGUGAAGGCCCAGAGGUGCUGAAACUUCUAGGCAGAGUCUGUGAGCAGGCAGACAGCAUCUCACCUUGCCUAAACCCCUCCAGGGACUGCUGAAGGCCUCAGUUGCUGCCCCUGGGCCCCUGGUUGGACCAGCACUUAGCCCCGAAAUAAAAUCCCAUUUCAUCCCCCUGUAGGAAAAGCCAGGCUUGCAAAGCCACCAGCUUCAGUGGAAUGGGAGGGCCCACUAUUAGCCUAUGAUACGCAGGCUUCCUCUGGGUGAUUUUCUAGUUUACCCACCAUUGCUCUGAACAGUGGAGAGAGGCUUUUUAAAGGAAAUUAAUUUUUCAGCCACUACUGAAAACAAUGUUGAAAGCAAGCUCAGGCUUCCAGGGAGUUAAAUGUUUGUUUAAAAU
Molecule: long non-coding RNA, 1006 nt
Organism: Bos taurus (domestic cattle)
Lineage: Eukaryota; Metazoa; Chordata; Mammalia; Artiodactyla; Bovidae
Source: Ensembl